Ictidomys tridecemlineatus (thirteen-lined ground squirrel) is the source of this 69-nucleotide non-coding RNA. The record is from Rfam. NCBI's taxonomy places the organism in Eukaryota, Metazoa, Chordata, Mammalia, Rodentia, Sciuridae.
GGGGCUGUAGCUCAGUGGUAGAGCACUUGCCUCAUACGAGUGAGGCCCUGGGUUCGAUCCUCAGCACCA